UAGGCGGAAUGUUGCGUAAAGGGAAAGGUCGUUUCAAAGCCCUGCACUACAUGGUCUAAAUUUGGCUAGAAUUUCCACUGUAUACCCAACGGUUACUAAGGUUGUCCACAGAGGGUGUCAGCCCCGUGCUUCCAUGUGGUAAAUUGUGCGUGGGUUCGUCCUUUUUCCCUGAGAGUCGCGUUGCUUGGAAUUGCAGCGCUAAGCAGGUCGUAAACUCGACCUAAGGCUAAAUAUAUUCACAGAACCGAUAGUAAACAAGUACCGUGAGGGAAAGUUGAAAAGUACUCUGAAGAGAGAGUCAAAAGACCGU
Molecule: ribosomal RNA, 310 nt
Filed under: Astyra antarctica
Lineage: Eukaryota; Metazoa; Arthropoda; Malacostraca; Amphipoda; Stilipedidae
Description: eukaryotic LSU rRNA
Rfam family: Eukaryotic large subunit ribosomal RNA
Source: RNAcentral